RNAcentral lists this ribosomal RNA (260 nucleotides) under uncultured Lactobacillus sp. Its description in RNAcentral is "partial 16S ribosomal RNA". It matches the Rfam family "Bacterial small subunit ribosomal RNA", at positions 283 to 525 of the family's 1533-position model. Lineage: Bacteria; Bacillati; Bacillota; Bacilli; Lactobacillales; Lactobacillaceae. The record is from RNAcentral.
AUAGCCCGAGUUGAGUAGACUGAUCGGCCACAUUGGGGACUGAGACACGGGCCCAAACUCCUACGGGAGGCAGCAGUAGGGAAUCUUCCACAAUGGACGCAAGUCUGAUGGAGCAAACGCCGCGUGAGUGAAGAAGGGUUUCGGCUCGUAAAAAGCUCUGUUGUUGGUGAAGAAGGACAGGGGGUAGUAACUGACCCUUUGUUUGACGGUAAUCAAUUAGAAAGUCACGGGCUAACUACGUGCCAGCAGCCGCGGUAAAU